RNAcentral lists this ribosomal RNA (327 nucleotides) under uncultured eukaryote. RNAcentral describes it as "partial 18S ribosomal RNA". It matches the Rfam family "Eukaryotic small subunit ribosomal RNA", at positions 1470 to 1796 of the family's 1831-position model. The record is from RNAcentral.
CCCUUAGAUGUCCUGGGCCGCACGCGCGUUACACUGAUGCAUUCAACGAGCUUAUAACCUUGGCCGAGAGGCCUGGGCAAUCUUGUUAACGUGCAUCGUGAUAGGGAUAGAUUAUUGAAAUUAUUAAUCUUGAACGAGGAAUUCCUAGUAAACGCAGAUCAUCAAUCUGCAUUGAUUACGUCCCUGCCCUUUGUACACACCGCCCGUCGCACCUACCGAUUGGAUGGUCCGGUGAAGCCUCGGGAUUGUGGCGAGUUUCCUUUAUUGGGAGUUUGUCGCGAGAACUUGUCUAAACCUUAUCAUUUAGAGGAAGGUGAAGUCGUAACA